GCAUGAAAUAAUCGGCACUCUCUGACCCUUGCGAGGUAGGUUGCAAGGAUCAUGAGGUUGGAACUCAUAAUCUAUUUGUAGUCGCAAGGAUCAUGAUGUUAAAACCCAUGAUCUAUUUGUAGUGAAAGCCUUAUUUAUAGAAAGGGAUAUAUUGAUGGACCCUGUUCUUUUAACUAACACAAUACUAUUGGAGAAAUUCUUGGAUAAGCCUUAUGUUUCAAAAGUGGCAGAUCCAUAUUUAUCGAUAAUGAUCUUGUUCAACCACUACAAGAAAUUCAUAUAUCAG
Molecule: long non-coding RNA, 286 nt
Filed under: Elaeis guineensis (African oil palm)
Lineage: Eukaryota; Viridiplantae; Streptophyta; Magnoliopsida; Arecales; Arecaceae
Description: long non-coding RNA (EGUI_LNC004046)
Source: RNAcentral